GUGAGGAAUUUUGCGCAAUGGGGGCAACCCUGACGCAGCGACGCCGCGUGGAGGACGAAGUCUUUCGGGAUGUAAACUCCUGUCAGUGGGGACGAUAAUGACGGUACCCACAGAGGAAGCACCGGCUAACUCCGUGCCAGCAGCCGCGGUAAGACGGAGGGUGCAAGCGUUGUUCGGAAUUACUGGGCGUAAAGCGUAGGUAGGCGGCAAGUUAAGUUCAAUGUUAAAGCCCACGGCUCAACCGAGGAGAUGAAUUGAAUACUGGCUAGCUAGAGGGUGUUAGAGGAAGACGGAAUUCCCAGUGUAGCGGUGAAAUGCGUAGAUAUUGGGAGGAACAUCGGUAGAGAAAGCGGUCUUCUGGGACAUACCUGACGCUGAGGUACGAAAGCGUGGGGAGCAAACGGGAUUAGAAACCCCGGUAGUCC
Molecule: ribosomal RNA, 425 nt
Filed under: uncultured bacterium
Lineage: Bacteria
Description: partial 16S ribosomal RNA
Rfam family: Bacterial small subunit ribosomal RNA
Source: RNAcentral